UUCGCUGAAUAUUUUCUAUUGAGUAAUAAAGAAAAAGUUUUGGAAGUUGAAGAUAUGUUGCUUAAUAAUGAAUUCAAAAUAAAUUUUAUCAAAAGAAUAAAAACAUUUGGAGGAACAGAUGUUGCACAUUUUAUUAAGACUUGCCUUCAGAAAUUGAUUUCAAAUGAACUAUCAACCCAAAUUCUUUUACUGGAAAGGCGUUUAAAAAGUCGUCUGAUCCAAAGAUGGCCUUGAUCAAACUUAAACUGUUUCAAGUCAUAUGUGAUGUUGGAAGAAACCUUUACCCAAGUUACACUAAUGACAUGGUUCAAAAAUCUGUUACUGGAUGG
Molecule: long non-coding RNA, 329 nt
Organism: Sipha flava (yellow sugarcane aphid)
Lineage: Eukaryota; Metazoa; Arthropoda; Insecta; Hemiptera; Aphididae
Exons: 3
Source: RefSeq, a predicted model, not a curated record